Molecule: ribosomal RNA, 1554 nt
Filed under: uncultured bacterium
Lineage: Bacteria
Description: bacterial SSU rRNA
Rfam family: Bacterial small subunit ribosomal RNA
Source: RNAcentral
GAGAGUUUGAUCCUGGCUCAGGACGAACGCUGGCGGCGUGCCUAAUACAUGCAAGUCGAACGCUUCUUUUCCCAUCGGAGCUUGCUCCACCGGGAAAAGAGGAGUGGCGAACGGGUGAGUAACACGUGGGUAACCUGCCCAUCAGAAGGGGAUAACACUUGGAAACAGGUGCUAAUACCGUAUAACAAUCGAAACCGCAUGGUUUCGUUUUGAAAGGCGCUUUACGGUGCCGCUGAUGGAUGGACCCGCGGUGCAUUAGCUAGUUGGUGAGGUAACGGCUCACCAAGGCCACGAUGCAUAGCCGACCUGAGAGGGUGAUCGGCCACAUUGGGACUGAGACACGGCCCAAACUCCUACGGGAGGCAGCAGUAGGGAAUCUUCGGCAAUGGACGAAAGUCUGACCGAGCAACGCCGCGUGAGUGAAGAAGGUUUUCGGAUCGUAAAACUCUGUUGUUAGAGAAGAACAAGGGUGAGAGUAACUGUUCACCCCUUGACGGUAUCUAACCAGAAAGCCACGGCUAACUACGUGCCAGCAGCCGCGGUAAUACGUAGGUGGCAAGCGUUGUCCGGAUUUAUUGGGCGUAAAGCGAGCGCAGGCGGUUUCUUAAGUCUGAUGUGAAAGCCCCCGGCUCAACCGGGGAGGGUCAUUGGAAACUGGGAGACUUGAGUGCAGAAGAGGAGAGUGGAAUUCCAUGUGUAGCGGUGAAAUGCGUAGAUAUAUGGAGGAACACCAGUGGCGAAGGCGGCUCUCUGGUCUGUAACUGACGCUGAGGCUCGAAAGCGUGGGGAGCAAACAGGAUUAGAUACCCUGGUAGUCCACGCCGUAAACGAUGAGUGCUAAGUGUUGGAGGGUUUCCGCCCUUCAGUACUGCAGCUAACGCAUUAAGCACUCCGCCUGGGGAGUACGACCGCAAGGUUGAAACUCAAAGGAAUUGACGGGGGCCCGCACAAGCGGUGGAGCAUGUGGUUUAAUUCGAAGCAACGCGAAGAACCUUACCAGGUCUUGACAUCCUUUGACCACUCUAGAGAUAGAGCUUCCCCUUCGGGGGCAAAGUGACAGGUGGUGCAUGGUUGUCGUCAGCUCGUGUCGUGAGAUGUUGGGUUAAGUCCCGCAACGAGCGCAACCCUUAUUGUUAGUUGCCAUCAUUUAGUUGGGCACUCUAGCAAGACUGCCGGUGACAAACCGGAGGAAGGUGGGGAUGACGUCAAAUCAUCAUGCCCCUUAUGACCUGGGCUACACACGUGCUACAAUGGGAAGUACAACGAGUCGCGAAGUCGCGAGGCUAAGCUAAUCUCUUAAAGCUUCUCUCAGUUCGGAUUGUAGGCUGCAACUCGCCUACAUGAAGCCGGAAUCGCUAGUAAUCGCGGAUCAGCACGCCGCGGUGAAUACGUUCCCGGGCCUUGUACACACCGCCCGUCACACCACGAGAGUUUGUAACACCCGAAGUCGGUGAGGUAACCUUUUUGGAGCCAGCCGCCUAAGGUGGGAUAGAUGAUUGGGGUGAAGUCGUAACAAGGUAGCCGUAUCGGAAGGUGCGGCUGGAUCACCUCCUU